Molecule: ribosomal RNA, 483 nt
Filed under: uncultured bacterium
Lineage: Bacteria
Description: partial 16S ribosomal RNA
Rfam family: Bacterial small subunit ribosomal RNA
Source: RNAcentral
AUUGAACGCUGGCGGCAGGCCUAACACAUGCAAGUCGAGCGGAUGAAGGGAGCUUGCUCCUGGAUUCAGCAGCGGACGGGUGAGUAAUGCCUAGGAAUCUGCCUGGUAGUGGGGGAUAACGUCCGGAAACGGGCGCUAAUACCGCAUACGUCCUGAGGGAGAAAGUGGGGGAUCUUCGGACCUCACGCUAUCAGAUGAGCCUAGGUCGGAUUAGCUAGUUGGUGGGGUAAAGGCCUACCAAGGCGACGAUCCGUACUGGUCUGAGAGGAUGAUCAGUCACACUGGAACUGAGACACGGUCCAGACUCCUACGGGAGGCAGCAGUGGGGAAUAUUGGACAAUGGGCGAAAGCCUGAUCCAGCCAUGCCGCGUGUGUGAAGAAGGUCUUCGGAUUGUAAAGCACUUUAAGUUGGGAGGAAGGGCAGUAAGUUAAUACCUUGCUGUUUUGACGUUACCAACAGAAUAAGCACCGGCUAACUUCGUG